This is a long non-coding RNA of Coffea eugenioides, 433 nucleotides long. RefSeq lists it as uncharacterized. The transcript is spliced from 5 exons. NCBI's taxonomy places the organism in Eukaryota, Viridiplantae, Streptophyta, Magnoliopsida, Gentianales, Rubiaceae. The record is from RefSeq and is a predicted model, not a curated record.
UUCUCGCUUAAAUUUUAGAAAAUUUUUGGGCAAUUCUUCUCCAUUUCCCACAAAAAAAAACAUGAUUUCAAUCAGAUAUCCAUGGCCAUGAUGUAAGCAUUUCUGAUUUUGUUCUGCUUUUUUAAGGCUAUUAUUAAUCCCUUGGAGCUAGCAAUGGAAGCACUCAAAGAGAUCCAAUUAUGGUUCUAUAAAGAUUUCCCUCCUCAUCCUAAGGAACAAGUUUAUGGAUUUGCAACACCAUCAACAAUGAAACCAACUCAAUGGUCUUAUCCAGGUGGUGGAAUUAACCAAAUCCAGCUGAAUGUACAGUUUCAGGGGAUGUUAGGUUGACUCCAUUUUACAGUGUAUCAGAUGUGCUGAAGAAGUUACAGGAGUAUGUAGAAGACAUAAAUGAAAACAUUGAGAAGCUUGAUACUAGGGACCCUAUUUCAAA